ACAGUUCUUUUUCGAAAUUCUUUUGUGUUGGGAUCAGAGGGUUGACAUUUGCAGGGGCAAAAUAAUUUUCUGUCUGUUCUGGAUUUAUUAAAGCAGCUGUCAUAUUCCACCCUCCCCCUCCUCGUUGCACGGUUUGUGUGCAUGGAUGUGGCUGUGCGGACGAAUCGUGAUACAAGGUAGUCCCACUCGGUGCUGGGAGAGUGGAAGGAGAAUACGCAGUUGGGUGUUCGAGGAGAUGCGGUCGUGAUUCGGUGCUGCUUUGGUCGGCUGCGGGAUGCGGCGGCGGAGAUCCGGCGGGGGCGGGGCCGUGGAGAUGGAACUGUUGAGUGUGGCUGAUCCCGGAAGCAGCGCUGUGGUUGGAUGAGGCGGCGCGGAGUGAUAUUGGUGGUGCGGCGGUUGUAGCAACUGCGCAUGCGUGCGUUGCGUCACUAGACUCGCGGCGGCAAGGGGCGGACUCUCAGCGGGACCAGAGCUUGGCGGGGCGACUGCUGCGGGCAUCCCCCGUGCAGCAAACAGCUCAACCAGCGCCCUGCAAGCUGGGACUAGCUCUGUGGCAGCUAUAUCUCGGCGGGAAAUACUAUUAAAGAGCUUAAUUCUAACUGUGUCUCAAAAGUCUCUGGUAAAGACGGCUGAACGGUCAGCAUUUGGGAAAUUAAUUAAAGUCUAUUCUAAGAGGUUUUUUAACUCUUGUUUCGGUAAUUGACUUGGCAUAGAACUCAAUAAAUGCUUUAGUUGCUUAUAGAGA
Long non-coding RNA from Haemorhous mexicanus (house finch), 745 nucleotides. RefSeq lists it as uncharacterized. The transcript is spliced from 3 exons. NCBI's taxonomy places the organism in Eukaryota, Metazoa, Chordata, Aves, Passeriformes, Fringillidae. The record is from RefSeq and is a predicted model, not a curated record.